Molecule: long non-coding RNA, 1783 nt
Organism: Calidris pugnax (ruff)
Lineage: Eukaryota; Metazoa; Chordata; Aves; Charadriiformes; Scolopacidae
Exons: 2
Source: RefSeq, a predicted model, not a curated record
UCCCUUUGUUCUUUUCAUUGUUUCUACCCCGAAGUGGCGGAGACACGAGGACAAACGCUUACCUUCUCUCCUUUUUGCUCCGAAACACACACGUUCCCAUCAGCUGGAAAAUGCACGGUCCACCUUGGAAGCGGCUACAGACGUCGGGAGACGGAGGAGAUAAGGGAAUGCGCCUGGAGCUCCGGAUCAAAUCGCCGACUCUCCCCGGGUCACCGGGAUCCACACGGUCCUUGGAGAUGAGGAGCGCCAGAAGACUGUGGCCUGACCGUCCCUUACGUCACGAAAGUGAUUUGUACCACAUUGCUAAUUUGGUGCAAUUCAUAACCUCCCGAUCUCCUACGUUUGCAACUGCUUUUUCGGCUCGCAGGGUGUGUUUUUUUAAGAUGUAGCUCCCCAGCGCAGAAAUUAAGAGCAAUCACCUAUGUGCAGGAGAGCAUCUUAUUUCCCAAUGUUUGUUGCUUUACCUUUGUCUAAUUAAAAAUGCAAACUUUUAGGAUCCUUUCAGAACAAAGCCUCACCAAAUCCCCUUUACGUCCAAGGAUUUGCAAAUUUAUAAAGGCUGCAUUGAAUUCAGCAUGGGUCAAGGGGCAAAAAAAGGGUAGAAGGUCACUGCAUUUUGAUUAUGGGUCAGUAAACAACAUGGCAUGUAGUAUGUGUCCAGAAACUCCUGCUAAAAAGUAUUUUAAAACUACCUAACUCAAGAAAUAGCCUUAGCCCGUGGUGAUUAUAAAUUGCACAAAAUUCUAGUGCGCAAGUGACACCCCAGCCCCCAUGGUAAGAAAAAAAAAAACAACCACAACUUAAAAAGCACUUAGCAAAACUCUGCGCUGCUGCUUUGUUUACCAAAAAAAACCCCAACAAAAAACCACCCCAACCCCCAAAAAACAACCCUCCCCCCAAAAAACACCAAAAAACCCCGAACCAACCCAACCCUGAAACUCCCAGGCAUAAGAGUGUUAGCCAGAUUAGGAGUAUUUUUAUUUAUUUUUUUUUCCCAGACUGACGGUUGGCAUUUCUUUGUCCUACACAUUUAGAAGAUUUUGUCCUGUGUUGUGAUUUGUUGCCGUACUAGAAUUUACGGCAAAUUUUAGGUACAACCAACAGCUGACUUUAAAAUAGCAGAAGGAUCCUAUUAUACUGUUCUUUGACCCUAUUAUAUUUACGUUACUGGACUCUUUGUGAUAGCCUCUAGCUGCUUUCAGUGUCCUCCUUGAGCAAAACAUGCCCAGCGAUGUCUAAAAGCAGGGUGGAGGGUUAGAAAACAAGUUCUCAUUCGAAAUAUAUAUUUCUUCCCAGCGUCGUGAAAGCAAAAGGUUUAUUUAAUGCUUGUCAAUACCUGAAGACACGGUCCAGCACUUAACAAAUAAUAAUAAUAAUAAAUAAUAAUAAUAAUAAUACUCUAACAAUGUGGCGAUCCCGGUGUGAAAAUGCACAUGACCUCUGAGGUUUUUCGCGAAGAUUUUCAGCAGAAUUCUCCCCAUUGGUCCCACUGCUGGUGGACAUCUCUGUUGCAUUUCCCAACGAAACGUUUAAAAGACUGCAAAUGGUGUGUGCAUUACUUCAUUGCAGAAGGAAGAGGUCAGGCUGAAUUGCGCUGGUAUUUAAACAUAAUCAUGCUAUGAAAAUAAAUCAAAACAUCACGUAAAAGGAGUAUUUUCAAUGUGACACACAUUUUCUUUCUGGAACGACGGGGCUCAGCACUUCCCCGCGAGCCUAUAUAUUUUAACACAAGUUUACAAAAAUGAAAGUGUACGAUUUCCAAUAAAUUGGGAAUAGGUCUACA